UACGAAGGGGGCUAGCGUUGCUCGGAAUCACUGGGCGUAAAGCGCACGUAGGCGGAUUGUUAAGUCAGGGGUGAAAUCCUGGAGCUCAACUCCAGAACUGCCUUUGAUACUGGCGAUCUCGAGUCCGGGAGAGGUGAGUGGAACUGCGAGUGUAGAGGUGAAAUUCGUAGAUAUUCGCAAGAACACCAGUGGCGAAGGCGGCUCACUGGCCCGGUACUGACGCUGAAGUGCGAAAGCGUGGGGAGCAAACAGG
Molecule: ribosomal RNA, 253 nt
Filed under: uncultured bacterium
Lineage: Bacteria
Description: partial 16S ribosomal RNA
Rfam family: Bacterial small subunit ribosomal RNA
Source: RNAcentral